This 492-nucleotide ribosomal RNA is filed under the name uncultured bacterium. Its description in RNAcentral is "partial 16S ribosomal RNA". It matches the Rfam family "Bacterial small subunit ribosomal RNA", at positions 29 to 507 of the family's 1533-position model. The record is from RNAcentral.
AGUGAACGCUGGCGGUAGGCCUAACACAUGCAAGUCGAACGGCAGCACAGUAAGAGCUUGCUCUUACGGGUGGCGAGUGGCGGACGGGUGAGGAAUACAUCGGAAUCUACUUUUUCGUGGGGGAUAACGUAGGGAAACUUACGCUAAUACCGCAUACGACCUACGGGUGAAAGCAGGGGAUCUUCGGACCUUGCGCGAUUGAAUGAGCCGAUGUCGGAUUAGCUAGUUGGCGGGGUAAAGGCCCACCAAGGCGACGAUCCGUAGCUGGUCUGAGAGGAUGAUCAGCCACACUGGAACUGAGGCACGGUCCAGACUCCUACGGGAGGCAGCAGUGGGGAAUAUUGGACAAUGGGCGCAAGCCUGAUCCAGCCAUACCGCGUGGGUGAAGAAGGCCUUCGGGUUGUAAAGCCCUUUUGUUGGGAAAGAAAAGCAGCAGGUUAAUACCCCGCUGUUCUGACGGUACCCAAAGAACAAGCACCGGCUAACUUCGUG